Molecule: ribosomal RNA, 253 nt
Filed under: uncultured bacterium
Lineage: Bacteria
Description: partial 16S ribosomal RNA
Rfam family: Bacterial small subunit ribosomal RNA
Source: RNAcentral
UACAGAGGUCCCAAGCGUUGUUCGGAUUCACUGGGCGUAAAGGGUGCGUAGGUGGUCGGGUAAGUCUGAAGUGAAAUCUUCGAGCUCAACUCGAAAAUGGCAUUGGAUACUAUUCGGCUGGAGGGUUGGAAGGGGGACUGGAAUUCUCGGUGUAGCAGUGAAAUGCGUAGAUAUCGAGAGGAACACCGGUGGCGAAGGCGAGUCCCUGGACAAUUCCUGACACUGAGGCACGAAAGCUAGGGGAGCAAACAGG